CUACGGGACGCUCCAGUGGGGAAUAUUGCACAAUGGGCGAAAGCCUGAUGCAGCAACGCCGCGUGAGGGACGACGGCCUUCGGGUUGUAAACCUCUUUUAGCAGGGAAGAAGCGAAAGUGACGGUACCUGCAGAAAAAGCACCGGCUAACUACGUGCCAGCAGCCGCGGUAAUACGUAGGGUGCAAGCGUUGUCCGGAAUUAUUGGGCGUAAAGAGCUCGUAGGCGGUUUGUCGCGUCUGCCGUGAAAAUCCGAGGCUCAACCUCGGACCUGCAGUGGGUACGGGCAAACUAGAGUGCGGUAGGGGAGAUUGGAAUUCCUGGUGUAGCGGUGGAAUGCGCAGAUAUCAGGAGGAACACCAAUGGCGAAGGCAGAUCUCUGGGCCGUAACUGACGCUGAGGAGCGAAAGCGUGGGGAGCGAACAGGAUUAGAUACCCCUGUAGUC
This 444-nucleotide ribosomal RNA is filed under the name uncultured bacterium. RNAcentral describes it as "partial 16S ribosomal RNA". It matches the Rfam family "Bacterial small subunit ribosomal RNA", at positions 339 to 795 of the family's 1533-position model. The record is from RNAcentral.